Molecule: ribosomal RNA, 119 nt
Filed under: Salmo salar (Atlantic salmon)
Lineage: Eukaryota; Metazoa; Chordata; Actinopteri; Salmoniformes; Salmonidae
Source: RNAcentral
GCUUACGGCCAUACCAGCCUGGGUACGCCCGAUCUCGUCUGAUCUCGGAAGCUAAGCAGGGUCGUGCCUGCUUAGUACUUGGAUGGGAGACCGCCUGGGAAAACCAUGUGCUGUAAGCA